RNAcentral lists this ribozyme (75 nucleotides) under Crocodylus porosus (Australian saltwater crocodile). RNAcentral's name for it is "Mammalian CPEB3 ribozyme (ENSCPRG00005010410.1)". It matches the Rfam family "Mammalian CPEB3 ribozyme". Rfam says of the family: The mammalian CPEB3 ribozyme is a self cleaving RNA located in the second intron of the CPEB3 gene which belongs to a family of genes regulating messenger RNA polyadenylation. This ribozyme is highly conserved and found only in mammals. There is currently only one other known self cleaving ribozyme in mammals, the CoTC motif. Lineage: Eukaryota; Metazoa; Chordata; Crocodylia; Crocodylidae. The record is from Rfam by way of RNAcentral.
UGUGGCUCCACAAUGGCCAUAGCAGAAGUGGUCACGUCGUGGCCCUGCAGGUUUAACAAACCUGCAAAUUCAGCU